GAGACACCCCUGUGGAGCAGGACUUGCUUCAGUGGGACUUUGGUGCUCACUGAGUCUUCCCUUUGAGUGUGUCACA
RNAcentral lists this microRNA precursor (76 nucleotides) under Myotis brandtii (Brandt's bat). RNAcentral's name for it is "mir-9229 microRNA precursor family". It matches the Rfam family "mir-9229 microRNA precursor family". The record is from Rfam by way of RNAcentral. Lineage: Eukaryota; Metazoa; Chordata; Mammalia; Chiroptera; Vespertilionidae.